Molecule: transfer RNA, 62 nt
Filed under: Prismosticta regalis
Lineage: Eukaryota; Metazoa; Arthropoda; Insecta; Lepidoptera; Endromidae
Description: tRNA-Ile
Source: RNAcentral
AAUAAAGUGCCUGAUUAAAGGAUUAUUCUGAUAGGAUAAAUUAAGUAGAUUUCCUACCUUUA